RNAcentral lists this ribosomal RNA (334 nucleotides) under Salmonella enterica subsp. enterica serovar Derby. RNAcentral's name for it is "bacterial SSU rRNA". It matches the Rfam family "Bacterial small subunit ribosomal RNA", at positions 1 to 333 of the family's 1533-position model. Lineage: Bacteria; Pseudomonadati; Pseudomonadota; Gammaproteobacteria; Enterobacterales; Enterobacteriaceae. RNAcentral also lists the same sequence under 3 other names. The record is from RNAcentral.
AAAUUGAAGAGUUUGAUCAUGGCUCAGAUUGAACGCUGGCGGCAGGCCUAACACAUGCAAGUCGAACGGUAGCACAGAGAGCUUGCUCUCGGGUGACGAGUGGCGGACGGGUGAGUAAUGUCUGGGAAACUGCCUGAUGGAGGGGGAUAACUACUGGAAACGGUGGCUAAUACCGCAUAACGUCGCAAGACCAAAGAGGGGGACCUUCGGGCCUCUUGCCAUCAGAUGUGCCCAGAUGGGAUUAGCUGGUUGGUGAGGUAACGGCUCACCAAGGCGACGAUCCCUAGCUGGUCUGAGAGGAUGACCAGCCACACUGGAACUGAGACACGGUCCA